GUAUCCCUACGGGGGGCAGCAGUAGGGAAUCUUCCACAAUGGGCGAAAGCCUGAUGGAGCAACGCCGCGUGGGUGAAGAAGGUCUUCGGAUCGUAAAACCCUGUUGUUAGAGAAGAAAGUGCGUGAGAGUAACUGUUCACGUUUCGACGGUAUCUAACCAGAAAGCCACGGCUAACUACGUGCCAGCAGCCGCGGCAAUACGUAGGUGGCAAGAGUUAUCCGGAUUUAUUGGGCGUAAAGGGCACGCAGGCG
Molecule: ribosomal RNA, 252 nt
Filed under: uncultured bacterium
Lineage: Bacteria
Description: partial 16S ribosomal RNA
Rfam family: Bacterial small subunit ribosomal RNA
Source: RNAcentral